Molecule: ribosomal RNA, 514 nt
Filed under: uncultured bacterium
Lineage: Bacteria
Description: partial 16S ribosomal RNA
Rfam family: Bacterial small subunit ribosomal RNA
Source: RNAcentral
UGGGGAAUAUUGCACAAUGGGCGAAAGCCUGAUGCAGCAACGCCGCGUGCGGGAUGACGGCCUUCGGGUUGUAAACCGCUUUCAGCAGGGACGAAGGUUUUCUGACGGUACCUGCAGAAGAAGCACCGGCUAACUACGUGCCAGCAGCCGCGGUGAUACGUAGGGUGCGAGCGUUGUCCGGAAUUAUUGGGCGUAAAGAGCUUGUAGGCGGUCCGUUGCGUCGGAAGUGAAAACUCAGGGCUUAACCCUGAGCCUGCUUUCGAUACGGGCGGACUUGAGGGAUGUAGGGGAGAACGGAAUUCCUGGUGGAGCGGUGGAAUGCGCAGAUAUCAGGAGGAACACCAGUGGCGAAGGCGGUUCUCUGGACAUUUCCUGACGCUGAGAAGCGAAAGCNUGGGGAGCAAACAGGCUUAGAUACCCUGGUAGUCCACGCCGUAAACGGUGGGCACUAGGUGUGGGACCCAUUUCCACGGGUUCCGUGCCGUAGCUAACGCAUUAAGUGCCCCGCCUGGGG